This 585-nucleotide ribosomal RNA is filed under the name uncultured bacterium. RNAcentral describes it as "bacterial SSU rRNA". It matches the Rfam family "Bacterial small subunit ribosomal RNA", at positions 338 to 916 of the family's 1533-position model. The record is from RNAcentral.
CCUACGGGAGGCAGCAGUGGGGAAUUUUGGACAAUGGGCGCAAGCCUGAUCCAGCAAUGCCGCGUGAGUGAAGAAGGCCUUCGGGUUGUAAAGCUCUUUUGUCAGGGAAGAAACGGUGCGGGCUAAUAUCCCGCACUAAUGACGGUACCUGAAGAAUAAGCACCGGCUAACUACGUGCCAGCAGCCGCGGUAAUACGUAGGGUGCAAGCGUUAAUCGGAAUUACUGGGCGUAAAGCGUGCGCAGGCGGUUUUGUAAGUCUGUCGUGAAAUCCCCGGGCUCAACCUGGGAAUUGCGAUGGAGACUGCAAGGCUAGAAUCUGGCAGGGGGGGGUAGAAUUCCACGUGUAGCAGUGAAAUGCGUAGAGAUGUGGAGGAACACCGAUGGCGAAGGCAGCCCCCUGGGUCAAGAUUGACGCUCAUGCACGAAAGCGUGGGGAGCAAACAGGAUUAGAUACCCUGGUAGUCCACGCCCUAAACGAUGUCUACUAGUUGUCGGGUUUUAAUUAACUUGGUAACGCAGCUAACGCGUGAAGUAGACCGCCUGGGGAGUACGGUCGCAAGAUUAAAACUUAAAUGAAUUGACGG